AGCGAACGCUGGCGGCAGGCCUAACACAUGCAAGUCGAACGAACCUUUCGGGGUUAGUGGCGGACGGGUGAGUAACACGUGGAAACGUGCCUUUAGGUUCGGAAUAACUCAGGGAAACUUGUGCUAAUACCGAAUGUGCCCUUCGGGGGAAAGAUUUAUCGCCUUUAGAGCGGCCCGCGUCUGGUUAGCUAGUUGGUUGAGGUAAUGGCUCACCAAGGCGACGAUCAGUAGCUGGUCUGAGAGGAUGAUCAGCCACAUUGGGACUGAGACACGGCCCAAACUCCUACGGGAGGCAGCAGUGGGGAAUCUUGCGCAAUGGGCGAAAGCCUGACGCAGCCAUGCCGCGUGAAUGAUGAAGGUCUUAGGAUUGUAAAAUUCUUUCACCGGGGACGAUAAUGACGGUACCCGGAGAAGAAGCCCCGGCUAACUUCGUG
RNAcentral lists this ribosomal RNA (434 nucleotides) under uncultured bacterium. Its description in RNAcentral is "partial 16S ribosomal RNA". It matches the Rfam family "Bacterial small subunit ribosomal RNA", at positions 29 to 507 of the family's 1533-position model. The record is from RNAcentral.